RNAcentral lists this small RNA (519 nucleotides) under uncultured Glomus. RNAcentral describes it as "SSU rRNA". It matches the Rfam family "Eukaryotic small subunit ribosomal RNA", at positions 569 to 1092 of the family's 1831-position model. The record is from RNAcentral. Lineage: Eukaryota; Fungi; Glomeromycota; Glomeromycetes; Glomerales; Glomeraceae.
AGCAGCCGCGGUAAUUCCAGCUCCAAUAGCGUAUAUUAAAGUUGUUGCAGUUAAAAAGCUCGUAGUUGAAUUUCGGGAUCAGUAUGUUGGUCGUGCUUCGGUACGUACUGUCAUUACUGGUUUCUACCUUCUGAAGAACCAUGAUGUCAUUAAUUUGGUGUCAUGGGGAAUCAGGACUGUUACUUUGAAAAAAUUAGAGUGUUUAAAGCAGGCUCGCGCUUGAAUACAUUAGCAUGGAAUAAUGAAAUAGGACGUUUGAUUCUAUUUUGUUGGUUUCUAGGAUCGGCGUAAUGAUUAAUAGGGAUAGUUGGGGGCAUUAGUAUUCAAUUGUCAGAGGUGAAAUUCUUGGAUUUAUUGAAGACUAACUACUGCGAAAGCAUUUGCCAAGGAUGUUUUCAUUAAUCAAGAACGAAAGUUAGGGGAUCGAAGACGAUCAAAUACCGUCGUAGUCUUAACCAUAAACUAUGCCGACUAGGGAUCGGAUGAUGUUAUUUUUAAUGACUCAUUCGGCGCCUUAAC